AUUGUAGAAGUGGUUAGAAUCUACAUUUAAUGCUCUGAGAACAAAUGUCUCAGAAUGCAGCAGGGGCAUGUUCAAACUGGGUCUGCCCCACUUUGAAAGAUGGCCCCAUGUGACUUUCAUCAGUACCCAUCCCCAACCCAACCUUCAGCCCAGACCUGGAUGUGGGUAGAAACCAACACACCUAAGGAAAGAGGCAGAUGUCUGAGCCAACAGUGGGGAUUGUUGCCAAGGCUGCUGGCAUCACAAAGGUGCUGAUGUCAUCGCCUAGUAACACAGAAACAGAGAUGGGCUACAGUUGAAGAGGAAGAGGGGAAGGAAACAGGAGUUGUGGGCACAAGAGUCCCACAGGAUGGAGAGAGCGAGGAAGCAGGAAACAAGGAACGACAAAGGCCUAUAACCUGGCGUUGAGAAACUGUGCGCCGGAAAAGUGAUGUGCAGAGAAUCAUGUUCUCUUCAGAAAAAAGAUACAGGAGGUGGGGAAGUGUGAGCAGCUGGGGGAGCCAGGAGAGUGCUGGAGAAAUAUUCAAUGGACAUAAAAACACACAAGUGACCUUCAGGCACCUUGCAAGGCUAAGUGCUCCCUAGCAAACUGGCAAGAACCACUUCCCACCUGACAGACUGCAUUGCAUCAACCAAACAAGCCAAUAUAGUUCUUCAAAUAUUCUCCCAGAGCCUGACCUCACAUUUUGGUUGAAGCGAAGUUUGGAAGUAGCACUACUACAUUUCCAAGAGUUCUGCAAGAAGAAGGGCACAGAUAAUCAAGCUCAGGUAGGCAAGCUUAGAUUAUUUUGGAAGGCUUUGCAUUCUAGACUUGUGCUGUGAAAUUGCCCAUUAGUUUGGGGUUCAAAUGUGGUUCAUAUAAAACCUACAUGCAACUUUCUUUUCAGGCUUCUGAUAUUGGUUGGAGUAAAUUACACUUUAUUCCCACAGCAAUCAAAGGGACUUGAGUUAGUUGUGAUCAUGACUAAUUUGCCUCACUGAUUUCAAUGGGGUUAAAACUUGAUGAACUUACAGUACAAUCCUAUACAUGUCUACACAGAAAUAAACCCCACUGAGUUCAGCAGAGCUCUCUCUCAAGUAAAUUGGUAUAGGAUUGCAGUCUUAGUCUGGGUACAACCCAUAGCAAAACACAACCAAAUAUGUCCCCCCACUUCAGUCCUCGAUGUCACGGGAGGAGAUUUAAUUAUGGGCUACCAUUGGAACUUUACUGUGCUUAACUGUGACUAGAUUGUACUCUUGGGGUGGUAUUCAACUUUUACUCUUAAGUAGACCUAUUGAAAUUAAUGGACCUAAUAGAGUAGAUCAACUAGUAUUGAUAAACAUGACCUAAGUAAAACUACGUA
Long non-coding RNA from Podarcis raffonei (Aeolian wall lizard), 1343 nucleotides. RefSeq lists it as uncharacterized. The transcript is spliced from 5 exons. NCBI's taxonomy places the organism in Eukaryota, Metazoa, Chordata, Lepidosauria, Squamata, Lacertidae. The record is from RefSeq and is a predicted model, not a curated record.